AUGUUGAUAGAGGAGACCAGUUUUGUAGGUUUAGUUCAGUUUGUCAGAGUCAGAGCUGUGUCUCUACAGUCUGAGGUUUUUGUACGACCACUCAACCAGUUUGUUUCACUGUGGUGGACGUUCGGUGGAGGAACCAGACUGGAUGUUGGAAGUGAUGCUCGUCCCACCCUGACGGUGCUGCCUCCCUCCAGGGAGGAGCUGCAGCAGGAGAAGGUCACGCUCACGUGUCUGGCCAACAAGGGCUUCCCCUCAGACUGGACUCUGUCCUGGAAGCUGGACGGCAGCGGCAGCAUCAGCAGCUCUGACCAGAGCAGGAGCCCUGGGGUUCUGGAGAAGGACGGACUCUACAGCUGGAGCAGCACCAUGAGGAUCCCUGCAGACCAGUGGACCAAGGUGAACUCUGUGACCUGUGAGGCCUCCCAGGGCUCCCAGUCUCCAGUCAGAGAGACGCUGAGCACAGACCAGUGCUCCCAGUCCUGAGCUGUUUGUGCGUUUCAUUUGUCCUCUGGUUCUGGUUCUGCUUUUGCCCUCAGUCUUUGUUUAGCAACAACGUUUGUGUUUUCAAAAAUAAACAAUUAAAAUUUGAUCUUUUCCUCUUUUCAUAAAGACUCUGCUGUGGAUCUAACAUAAUAAAAUAUUCCUUUAAACUGAAA
Non-coding RNA from Betta splendens (Siamese fighting fish), 653 nucleotides. Lineage: Eukaryota; Metazoa; Chordata; Actinopteri; Anabantiformes; Osphronemidae. The record is from the annotation of a RefSeq genome assembly.